Molecule: ribosomal RNA, 375 nt
Filed under: uncultured bacterium
Lineage: Bacteria
Description: bacterial SSU rRNA
Rfam family: Bacterial small subunit ribosomal RNA
Source: RNAcentral
AUACGUAGGGGGCAAGCGUUGUCCGGGAUUAUUGGGCGUAAAGCGCGCGCAGGCGGUUGUUUAAGUCUGGUGUAUAAGCCCAGGGCUCAACCUUGGGAGGCACCGGAAACUGGGCAACUGGAGUCCAGGAGAGGAAAGUGGAAUUCCACGUGUAGCGGUGAAAUGCGUAGAGAUGUGGAGGAACACCAGUGGCGAAGGCGACUUUCUGGCCUGAAACUGACGCUGAGGCGCGAAAGCGUGGGAGCAAACAGGAUUAGAUACCCUGGUAGUCCACGCCGUAAACGAUGAAUGCUAGGUGUUAGGGGUUUUGAUACCCUUGGUGCCGAAGUUAACACAUUAAGCAUUCCGCCUGGGGAGUACGGUCGCAAGACUGAA